UACGUAAGUGGCGAGCGUUAUCCGGAAUUACUGGGCGUAAAGCGCACGUAGGCGGAUAUUUAAGUCAGGGGUGAAAUCCCAGAGCUCAACUCUGGAACUGCCUUUGAUACUGGGUAUCUUGAGUAUGGAAGAGGUGAGUGGAAUUCCGAGUGUAGAGGUGAAAUUCGUAGAUAUUCGGAGGAACACCAGUGGCGAAGGCGGCUCACUGGUCCAUUACUGACGCUGAGGUGCGAAAGCGUGGGGAGCAAACAGG
Molecule: ribosomal RNA, 253 nt
Filed under: uncultured bacterium
Lineage: Bacteria
Description: partial 16S ribosomal RNA
Rfam family: Bacterial small subunit ribosomal RNA
Source: RNAcentral